Non-coding RNA from Delphinapterus leucas (beluga whale), 608 nucleotides. NCBI's taxonomy places the organism in Eukaryota, Metazoa, Chordata, Mammalia, Artiodactyla, Monodontidae. The record is from RefSeq and is a predicted model, not a curated record.
GUCUUCACCUCUGGACCACCAGGGAAGUCCCAGAGAUUCUGCAUUUAAACUUUAUAUCUGCCCAGUUUCUGUGUCCUGUGUUCCUGAGCGGCACGUGUUCAUAGAAGGGAGGCACCGCCAGGCUGCAGCUGCUGAUGGGCACUCGGUCUCCUCAGGACUCGCUGGGGUCGGCUUCAGGACAACGUGGGGCUGCGUCCACGCUGACGGGAGCUGGGUUUCCUGAGGACGCGGGUGACGCUGGAGAAAAGGUUUUUUUGGUGGAAUGAUGUGGAAAAUUGAACUUCCAAAAUCCCGCUGUUACUACCACAUCCAAGUCAUCCACAACAGGGAAGAAAGGGAAGUCGUUUAUAUUGGGAAGUCCUAAUAAGUCUUUCCACAGUGCCUCUAAAUGACAUGUGGACUUGGGGUGAACUGCAUCUGGGUAAGGCUUUGCCUCUGUAUGGAAGUUUGAUGUUUCCUCUGCCUUUCUGGCAUGGUUUUGACAUGGUGUUUUGCAAAGUACUUGACUUUCCAGCAAUUUCAAACGUACAGACAGCUUUACAUACAGAAAAGCAAGUUUUGAUUAAAUAUAUUCCUAAAUAUUAAUGUUGACAUUAUUUUAAAUCGAA